Molecule: ribosomal RNA, 185 nt
Filed under: uncultured eukaryote
Lineage: Eukaryota
Description: partial 18S ribosomal RNA
Source: RNAcentral
UCGUAUAGUGAUAAGUCUCGUUAAUUCAGUAAAACGAGCGCGAUCUUAGUUGCAUAGAGGGGAUUUUUUCAUAAAUUAUGGAAAAAUUCCUUCCAAAGUUUUCAAUUAGGAAGACUUGGGAAUUGCAAGACCGUCGGUGUAAGGAAUUUACAUCCUGUAACCGAAGGAAGGGUAAGGCGAGAAUA